Molecule: ribosomal RNA, 255 nt
Filed under: Rhizoctonia solani
Lineage: Eukaryota; Fungi; Basidiomycota; Agaricomycetes; Cantharellales; Ceratobasidiaceae
Description: 5.8S ribosomal RNA
Rfam family: 5.8S ribosomal RNA (bases 117-255)
About the family: 5.8S ribosomal RNA (5.8S rRNA) is a component of the large subunit of the eukaryotic ribosome. It is transcribed by RNA polymerase I as part of the 45S precursor that also contains 18S and 28S rRNA.
Source: RNAcentral
UAUUUGUUAUUUUUUGUAAUAAAAUGAUAAUAAGUCAUUGAACCCUUCUGUCUACUCAACUCAUAUAAACUCAAUUUAUUUUAAAUGAAUGUAAUGGAUGUAACACAUCUCAUACUAAGUUUCAACAACGGAUCUCUUGGCUCUCGCAUCGAUGAAAAACGCAACGAAAUGCGAUAAGUAAUGUGAAUUGCAAAAUUCAGUGAAUCAUCGAAUCUUUGAACGCACCUUGCGCUCCUUGGUAUUCCUUGGAGCAUG